CACGUAGGGUGCGAGCGUUGUCCGGAAUCAUUGGGCGUAAAGAGCUCGUAGGCGGUGUGUCGCGUCGGCCGUGAAAACUUGGGGCUUAACUCUGAGCGUGCGGUCGAUACGGGCAUCACUUGAGUUCGGCAGGGGAGACUGGAAUUCCUGGUGUAGCGGUGAAAUGCGCAGAUAUCAGGAGGAACACCGGUGGCGAAGGCGGGUCUCUGGGCCGAUACUGACGCUGAGGAGCGAAAGCGUGGGGAGCGAACAGG
Molecule: ribosomal RNA, 254 nt
Filed under: uncultured bacterium
Lineage: Bacteria
Description: partial 16S ribosomal RNA
Rfam family: Bacterial small subunit ribosomal RNA
Source: RNAcentral